UGAAGCGAGGAUGCCUUCCACA
RNAcentral lists this non-coding RNA (22 nucleotides) under Arabidopsis thaliana (thale cress). Lineage: Eukaryota; Viridiplantae; Streptophyta; Magnoliopsida; Brassicales; Brassicaceae. The record is from RNAcentral.